Molecule: unclassified non-coding RNA, 563 nt
Filed under: Hevea brasiliensis (rubber tree)
Lineage: Eukaryota; Viridiplantae; Streptophyta; Magnoliopsida; Malpighiales; Euphorbiaceae
Source: RNAcentral
GUCAAAGUUGCUUUAGGAACUGCACCUAUUAUUGCCUCCUUCUUCUCACCAUCUUUGAAGAUAAUGACUGUAGGUAUGCUUCUAAUACCAUAUUGGGAUGCAAUUGAAGAGUUGUUAUCGGUAUCCACCUUGUAAAAUUUGAACUUUCCAGCGUACUCUUUAGAUAGGUCAUCAAUGAUUGGAUGAAUCAUGCGGCAAGGACCGCACCAUGGAGCCCAGAAUUCAACUAGUACGGGUAAUUUAGAUUCUAUAACCAGUGACUUCCAGGUAGCUUCUGAAGCAGCAGGUACAAUGGCAGCAGUUUCCUGAGCUUCGCAAACGAUAGUUGCCGAACGCUGAGUAAAUCUAGCAUUAGAUCUGGCAGAUCUUAUAGAGUGGGAAGUGAAGCUGUGAGCGAUCUUCAAGCCUCUGCACUGCGGGAGAGCGACGGAACUCCGACGGCCGGAGAAAGCGGUGGAAGCCAAGGCGGAGGAACAGGGAAGAGUGAGGGAAUCGAGAACCGUAGCCAUCGGAGGAAGGGAUUGAUGGGUGAUGGUGGUUGCGACUUGCGAGGGAGAAGUUUG